AUAGGAGACAAGAGGGCAUCUUCUUGUUUUUAAAAGACCUAGCAAUAGGUAUGCUUAGGGAGGAGCUUGCGUCACAUUAGUUAGUUGGUGGGGUAAAGGCCUAACAAGACUAUGAUGUGUAGCCGGGCUGAGAGGUUGAACGGCCACAUUGGGACUGAGACACGGCCCAAACUCCUACGGGAGGCAGCAGUAGGGAAUUUUCGGCAAUGGAGGAAACUCUGACCGAGCAACGCCGCGUGAACGAUGAAGUAUUUCGGUACGUAAAGUUCUUUUAUUAGGGAAGAAUAAAUGAUGGAAAAAUCAUUCUGACGGUACCUAAUGAAUAAGCCCCGGCUAACUAUGUGCCAGCAGCCGCGGUAAUACAUAGGGGGCAAGCGUUAUCCGGAAUUAUUGGGCGUAAAGGGUGCGUAGGCGGUUAAAUAAGUUUAUGGUCUAAGUGCAAUGCUCAACAUUGUGAUGCUAUAAAAACUGUUUAGCUAGAGUAAGAUAGAGGCAAGUGGAAUUCCAUGUGUAGUGGUAAAAUGCGUAAAUAUAUGGAGGAACACCAGUAGCGAAGGCGGCUUGCUGGGUCUUUACUGACGCUGAGGCACGAAAGCGUGGGGAGCAAACAGGAUUAGAUACCCUGGUAGUCCACGCCGUAAACGAUGAGUACUGAACGUUGGGUAAAACCAGUGUUGAAGUUAACACAUUAAGUACUCCGCCUGAGUAGUACGUACRCAAGUAUGAAACUUAAAGGAAUUGACGGGACUCCGCACAAGCGGUGGAUCAUGUUGUUUAAUUCGAAGGUACCCGAAAAACCUCACCAGGUCUUGACAUGCUUCUGCAAAGCUGUAGAAACACAGUGGAGGUUAUCAGUUGCACAGGUGGUGCAUGGUUGUCGUCAGCUCGUGUCGUGAGAUGUUGGGUUAAGUCCCGCAACGAGCGCAACCCUUAUUGUUAGUUACCAGCACGUAAUGGUGGGGACUUUAGCAAGACUGCCAGUGAUAAAUUGGAGGAAGGUGGGGACGACGUCAAAUCAUCAUGCCCCUUAUGACCUGGGCUACAAACGUGAUACAAUGGCUGUUACAAAGGGUAGCUGAAGCGCAAGUUUUUGGCAAACCYCAAAAAAACAGUCUCAGUUCGGAUUGAAGUCUGCAACUCGACUUCAUGAAGUUGGAAUCGCUAGUAAUCGCGAAUCAGCAUGUCGCGGUGAAUACGUUC
RNAcentral lists this ribosomal RNA (1200 nucleotides) under 'Polygonum aviculare' phytoplasma. RNAcentral's name for it is "bacterial SSU rRNA". It matches the Rfam family "Bacterial small subunit ribosomal RNA", at positions 173 to 1373 of the family's 1533-position model. The record is from RNAcentral. Lineage: Bacteria; Bacillati; Mycoplasmatota; Mollicutes; Acholeplasmatales; Acholeplasmataceae.